Culex pipiens pallens (northern house mosquito) is the source of this 1343-nucleotide long non-coding RNA. RefSeq lists it as uncharacterized. The transcript has 3 exons. Lineage: Eukaryota; Metazoa; Arthropoda; Insecta; Diptera; Culicidae. The record is from RefSeq and is a predicted model, not a curated record.
CUUGAUUUCUAGAGUAAAUUUUCAAAAGGUCCUAUGUGCAAAAACCUCAACCUGAGAAAUUUGAUGUCAAAGUUUUGAUGUACAUUUUUAAUUCCCAUUUAAACACGGUUAGGUAUUUUUCAAUACUAAAAACGCUAAAUUGAACCUAUACUGAUGCUUUUUAAGGGUACUUAACGAGAAUCAUCAAAAGUCUAGUUUAAACUUAUUUCUGAAGCAAUUUGUUUCAUACGACCUGUGAUUGCACAUAGGACACGUUUCAUAGGACAAAUUUUGCACAUAGGAUUCAAUACAUUGGAUCAAAUUCAUGCCGCAUUGCACAUAGGAAUUUUCCAAAUUAAAUUUAAAUCUUGAUUUAAAAAGAACAACUUUUUUAUAAUAACUAUGUUCGCCCAAUCCUCGCGCAACGUGUAGGCAACAGCUGAUUGAGAGCAUGAAAUGUUUCAAUGCUUCCAGCGCGCGAGAGAGAAACCGUUAGGAGAACAAAUCGACCAAUCAGAGAACUCGUCAGCAUCUGUCAGAUAGGUGCUUGCAAAUUAACUUACACGACAAUGUAAACAAUCUUUGCUUGGGUCCGGAUAGGACUCUUCGUAUUUUUCUAGUUUUUUUGAUGUUUUUUUUAUGAUUGUUUGCCAAAGAAGUGCCAAAAACUUGGUGUAGGCUAAUUAUUUAUCGUUCAGAAUCUACUGAACUAGUUUUGAGGACUGUUAUUAUUUAUCGGUCAGUGAAAAUGCCCGACGGGAAUUGACCAGUUUCAGUCGCUAUGAAUCACUAACUGUGAGAACAAAAAAGUCGAUCUCGCUUGCCGGAAAGAGAAGUGCAAGAACGACUAUCCAAACUGGCGACUUCAGGAGUGUAAACAGAAAAUUAGCAAGCAACCACUUGGCUGCCGUUGAUUUAAGGUGUCGUGAAGGCGGUUUGCUGUGGCAUUCCGGACAAGUUGAACCGCACCACGGAGGACGUGGUGACGUUCGAUGCGCACUGUUUUCCGCACCUGGUAGAGAAGUUGCAGCUGGACCUGCAUGAAAUGCCGUUUUCACAGUGCGUCCAGUGGGUGGAGGGCGCCAGUUGAGGAGGGAAGGCAUUGGGUACUCGCGGUUAUUGCUGUACGACUAUGAUAUCCACUUCCUGCCGCGCAACAUCAUCCACCAGUUCCGAACGGUGACGGCCGUUACGAGUACAGCGUGGCAUCUGCGGCUCAAGCAGUACUAUCCGGACCGAGAUACAGACAAGUAGAUUUUGCAGAAGAUUGCCAACGAGUACGAGGUGAAAUAAACAGUUCAAUGAUAGUAGGAAGAGCAGUAGCAGUUCGAGCCAUAAGCACUCGUCGUCGUCUUCGUCACAAG